UCGCUACUACCGAUUGAAUGAUUUAGUGAGUACCACGGACUGAAGCGCUUGGUUGGGUUUCCUUCCUUGCGUUUCAGGAAGUGUCGCAAACUUGACCAUUUAGAGGAAGUAA
This 112-nucleotide ribosomal RNA is filed under the name uncultured eukaryote. RNAcentral describes it as "partial small subunit ribosomal RNA". It matches the Rfam family "Eukaryotic small subunit ribosomal RNA", at positions 1676 to 1785 of the family's 1831-position model. The record is from RNAcentral.